RNAcentral lists this ribosomal RNA (465 nucleotides) under Vreelandella stevensii. RNAcentral describes it as "partial 16S ribosomal RNA". It matches the Rfam family "Bacterial small subunit ribosomal RNA", at positions 338 to 795 of the family's 1533-position model. The record is from RNAcentral. Lineage: Bacteria; Pseudomonadati; Pseudomonadota; Gammaproteobacteria; Oceanospirillales; Halomonadaceae.
CCUACGGGUGGCAGCAGUGGGGAAUAUUGGACAAUGGGGGCAACCCUGAUCCAGCCAUGCCGCGUGUGUGAAGAAGGCCCUCGGGUUGUAAAGCACUUUCAGUGAGGAAGAACGCCUGGUGGUUAAUACCCAUCAGGAAAGACAUCACUCACAGAAGAAGCACCGGCUAACUCCGUGCCAGCAGCCGCGGUAAUACGGAGGGUGCGAGCGUUAAUCGGAAUUACUGGGCGUAAAGCGCGCGUAGGUGGCUUGAUAAGCCGGUUGUGAAAGCCCCGGGCUCAACCUGGGAACGGCAUCCGGAACUGUCAAGCUAGAGUGCAGGAGAGGAAGGUAGAAUUCCCGGUGUAGCGGUGAAAUGCGUAGAGAUCGGGAGGAAUACCAGUGGCGAAGGCGGCCUUCUGGACUGACACUGACACUGAGGUGCGAAAGCGUGGGUAGCACACAGGAUUAGAUACCCUUGUAGUC